UGCUCCCAGAGACAACAUGCUUCCUUAUAUCCCCAUAUGAGUAAGUCAGUUAUGGAAUGUAAGGAAGUGUGUGGUUUCAGG
MicroRNA precursor from Lepisosteus oculatus (spotted gar), 81 nucleotides. Ensembl annotates it as microRNA 206. Its record names the gene mir206-2. The record is from Ensembl. Lineage: Eukaryota; Metazoa; Chordata; Actinopteri; Semionotiformes; Lepisosteidae.